AUGGCGCUGUGGUGGUCUAGUAGCAGCAGCAACAAGGGCUUUGAGGCCCAUGGGUGCAGAGGAGAUGGUGAGGAGGUGGGUCCAGAGGCGAGCAACCAUGGUGGGGGCGAGCGAGCACCUCGUCCUCUUCUCGCACGUAGCAGAGGCGUGGCUGGAGGAGGAGGCAGCAGGGGGGCCGGGGUUGGCGCGGAGCAGGCACCGACGAGACUUGGGGCGCUGGAGAAGGGCGCCGGCGGCGAAGAAGCUCCAAGGCAGCGGCUUGGACCAAGGCGACGGGGACAGCGCAAGACAGGGAGACGCGGGAGACGUGGCCCUCGAGUUCGAGCGGCGAGACGGCGAAGGCGGCCGAGCGGGAGCCGGGCGUCUCUUGGCAGCAGGGCCGGCGCUGGUCGUGGCUGUCGGAGGGGGAUGGGCGCGGGCAUGGACGGAAGGGGCGGUGCUGUGGGAUCGGGAUCGAGCACGGGGGCUCCUGCAUGUAUGCGAGAGAGAAGGUGA
RNAcentral lists this ribosomal RNA (495 nucleotides) under Triticum aestivum (bread wheat). Its description in RNAcentral is "partial small subunit ribosomal RNA". Lineage: Eukaryota; Viridiplantae; Streptophyta; Magnoliopsida; Poales; Poaceae. The record is from RNAcentral.